This is a long non-coding RNA of Harpia harpyja (harpy eagle), 2636 nucleotides long. RefSeq lists it as uncharacterized. The record is from RefSeq and is a predicted model, not a curated record. NCBI's taxonomy places the organism in Eukaryota, Metazoa, Chordata, Aves, Accipitriformes, Accipitridae. The transcript has 3 exons.
AUCUGCCCUUUCCGCCAGCCCUGCAGAUAGAUGUGCAAAGAAGUCCCGCUCAUGCCCGUCCUCCUGCUUCUGCGUGUCAAAGCCACUGCAGAUGUGUAAGCACAUGUUCAUGUUCUUCUAAAGGCAAUGAAAUACAACAGCAUUUCAGUGUUUUGUUUCCUCUCUCAAGACUCAGGUCAGUGGAACUGGUCUAAGUAAUGCUCCCUCCAUUAGAUACUAAACAUGGCUCUCCCCAGAUGGCUUUACCAAGAAGCUGUUAGUUAGCACAGAAAUUUGUCUCCCUUCUUUCUCUUCUCUUUGAAGCAGGGUCAGGACUUCGCUAUGGCUCUCCGUUUGACUCGGAAGUCACGUCGGUCCUGUUGAAAGCUGCAGAUGAUCUAGUAAUGAAGUGAUGUGGCAGAAUGGUAUGAGGAAACACCAUACUGCGUGUGCUGCCGUCUUUCCAGUGUGGCACAAAGUCCUGACUAUUUAUGGUUAUUAAAAGUCCCAGCACACCUUUUGAAAAGUAAGGCUCUUAAUCCCCGUGUGCUGGCCAAAAUCUAUUUUCAGUGAUACCACUCUGGCUAUCAGCAUUUCCUGUAUUGUUCCAGAUGGAGAUAGUGUUGGCCAUUGCAUCCUGUUCCAAACUGCGUGCUGGGCUCCUCUCUGUUUUGGAACAGCUGAUAUUUUCCAGAAACAACCAUGCUGCAGUGGUGUGUGAAGUGAUCUCUAUAUAUCCCUCACUUGUCUCACAGGAAUGGAAUGAGGAUUAAUCAAUUAUGACCGAAUCAUGAUCCCACUGAAGUCAAAAGAAGGGUUUUUUCCAUUGGCAUCAUGGGGGCCAGGGUGGGCUUCUGUGUGGAUAUUAUUGUUUUGAGAUACCUGCACGUAAAAACAAACGAAAAUGCAAAGCAUUACCUUUUUGAAGGUGUCUGUGUAGUGAGAAUUCCUUUAGCUGGAAAGGAAAAUGCAUUUUGAAGGCUGUUUCCUCAAGAGUCUAGUUACUUGUCACAACAGGCGUUACUGUGCAUGAGGAAAUCCCAGUUCGUUGAAUGUGGCUUUAAGCAUGUGGUGUUGGUCGGCUGGCAUUUGUGGCUUUGCAUGUCCUAUGCAUCCAAAACAUGCUUUGUUACACUUUCAGGGCUGGUUCCUGCUCUUUUCCCAAUGCAGCGGAUGGUGUGGAAUUGUAUCUCAGAAGCCAUGUUCUUAAAACCAUCAAUUAUUCAGCUUUAAAUAUUGGAAGAAAGUUGAAUACUGAGUGACAAUAGCUGCAGGUUAUUCUCAUUGACCAAAUGUUAAUUCUUCUGGGCAAACAAACAGAGGAUCUAAAAAAAGAGCAACUCUGGCUAGAUUUCUAAGAGACUGCAAAAUAUUUCCUGCUUAGAUCUUCUGUCACAUGCCACUUACGAUGUCACAUUUCAAACUGUAAAUCAAUUUACAAGUUGGACAAGUGAUAUCACUGAAAAACAUUUUUGCAGGAUUGCCUAACUUCUUCCAUGCAAAUAUAAUAAUAGUACAUCUCUCGUGCAAAUAUAGUAAAGAGUGGUCAUGGACUAUUUUGGGAAAAGCAUAGUCACCAGAUGGACAUAGAGAGAAUAUUCAGUCAGCCACUGAGGAGCAGAAGAACAGUAAUAAAUAUUAUUAAAGGCAGGUAUGGAUGAAGAUUAACCUAUUCCUGCAGGAAAACUAUCAAAUUAAACUUAGAAAAAUGUUGGUACAUUAACAACAUAAAUCAUGUGCUCUUCUGCAAAUGAACAGUAAAUGAAAAAUAGAGGAUAUAUGUCAUCCAUACUUUAUAGUGUUGACUUCAUUUUCUCAAGUAUGUAGAAGAGGUUUUGAUGUGUGUAUAUUAAUAUUUCUCUAUUGGUUAAAGAUAAAUUUAAAGCAAAACAUAGGUCAAAGCUUUUCUGGAAAUAAGUGUUCCACUCUGUCUUCCACCAAGUCCCAUGGAGUUAAACUGAAUUCUGUAACUGAGUGCUUGGUGUAAUCUCCCAUAGUAGUGCACUGUGAUCCUUCCCCUGGCUCCAAAGCCCUAACUGAACUAUGGCUGAAAAACUUCAUAUGAUAUUAAUGCAUGGCUGCGGCUGCCUGCCAUCCUUUCGGUACUUCGUCAAAACCCAGAGAUAAGAGAACAACAACAGUGUGCCACACUUCAGAAAGAGGAAUAUCACAUCCAUUUGGAAGAAUAGAGGGAAUUUCAGACAAAGGGAGCACACUUACAGAAACCCAAAUAUGAGCAGAAAACUGGGUUAACUUGCUGUCUGCCAGACCAAAUGUCUCAGGGUCCUUGGGAAAUGGGACCACAACUCUGUCUCUUCCUAGAAGACAGUUCUGAAAAGAGCAUAAAUCAAAUGGGAAGACCUUACAAACAAAAGCAAUAUACAGAAUUUUUUAUCAUGCGAAUUUCACAGACAAUUAUGCUUCCAUAAGCUUAAGCUUUUUUUAUAAUUGGGGAUAAAAAUGCACUCUUGAAUGCAAGAUUGAAAAAGAUUAAAACAUUAGAAAAUGCUAAGGCAACUGCAGUUCCAAUUUCCAAUUUUCAUCUUAUCAUGACACAUGUAGUAAGUGCAUUACCCCAUUUUGAUCCAAUUCCAUUAGAUAUUUGUAAGUCACAUACGGCACUGGUUCAUAAAACACAGCUUUCGGAUACUCACCGA